Molecule: long non-coding RNA, 245 nt
Filed under: Lathyrus oleraceus (garden pea)
Lineage: Eukaryota; Viridiplantae; Streptophyta; Magnoliopsida; Fabales; Fabaceae
Description: Pisum sativum (pea) long non-coding RNA (PSAT_LNC033693)
Source: RNAcentral
GACUUACAAGGGUGUGAAAAUGGGCUCGACAUUGAAUCGAGAAAAAUAUGAUUUUUAUAGUUUUAAAAUGGUUUUGAAUGAAUGAUGAAAUUAAAAGAAAGCAGAUCAUCCAUGAGUAUAAUAAAAACAUAAACAUAAAAUAAAAAUGCUAAAAGAAAAUAAAAUGCUAAAAGAAAAAAAAGUUAAAAGAAAUAAAAUGCUCAAUAUGGGUAUCGAACCCACUACACUAAAGACCAUAAAAAUCA